GUCCUAGACUCACCGUCACCCUGGAUAGAGGGGAGAGAGCACUUACUGGAUGAACUCGAUGAAUUGACACUUCAAGGCUGGAUGCUUCACAACAAGAGUCUCUACCGUGUUUCUACUACUAAGAAGGGCUGGAGGGCCAGUAGAGAAGACUGUCAGAAGAGAAAGGCAGACCUGGUGGUCAUCAACAGCAGAGAAGAACUGGUUCAGUGAUGCUCACGGAGGAGGAGGAGGAGGCCCCCAGCAUCACAGAGU
Long non-coding RNA from Gadus morhua (Atlantic cod), 252 nucleotides. RefSeq lists it as uncharacterized. The transcript has 3 exons. Lineage: Eukaryota; Metazoa; Chordata; Actinopteri; Gadiformes; Gadidae. The record is from RefSeq and is a predicted model, not a curated record.